Molecule: ribosomal RNA, 253 nt
Filed under: uncultured bacterium
Lineage: Bacteria
Description: partial 16S ribosomal RNA
Rfam family: Bacterial small subunit ribosomal RNA
Source: RNAcentral
UACGUAGGGGGCUAGCGUUGUCCGGAAUCAUUGGGCGUAAAGAGCGUGUAGGCGGUCCGGUAAGUCCGCUGUGAAAGUCGGGGGCUCAACCCUCGAAUGCCGGUGGAUACUGUCGGGCUAGAGUGCGGAAGAGGCGAGUGGAAUUCCUGGUGUAGCGGUGAAAUGCGUAGAUAUCGGGAGGAACACCUGAGGCGAAGGCGGGCUACUGGGCCGAUACUGACGCUGAUGCGCGAAAGCCAGGGGAGCGAACGGG